This 494-nucleotide long non-coding RNA is filed under the name Anas platyrhynchos platyrhynchos (common mallard). RNAcentral's name for it is "lncRNA (ENSAPLG00000023266.1)". The record is from RNAcentral. Lineage: Eukaryota; Metazoa; Chordata; Aves; Anseriformes; Anatidae.
CCAGAGCUCCCAGUAUGCCCAGUUCCCUCUCCCAGUACACCCCAGUACACCCACUGCCUCCCAGUCUCUCUGCCCAGUCCCCCCAGUCUGCUCCAGUUCGCACCCAGUGCUCCCCAGUAUACCCAGUGCCUCCCAGUAUGCCCCAUUUCCUCACUCCAGUGCCUCCCAGUGUGCCUGGUCCUGCUCCCAGUGCCUCCCAGUGCCUCCCAGUAUGUUCUGCUGCUCCCCAGGUGCCCCAGUUCCUUGUCCCAGUGCUCCCAGUAUGGCCCAGUUCGCCCCAGUGGGUGCGAUGUGCGCUGAUUUUUCUGCGCCCAGUACAACCCAGUACAUCCCAGUCACUACCCAGUCGGUCCCAGCGCCCUCCCAGUCUGUCCCAGUAUCUCCCAGUAUCCUCCCAGUCCUCCCAGUUCCCCAGUCCUCCAGAGGCCCCUGUGGAGGCCGGAAGUGCCGCUCUGGCCGAACUCGUCUCUCCCCACGGAAAGGAAGUGACGUAG